GAUGAACGCUGGCGGCGUGCCUAAUACAUGCGAGUCGAGCGAACAGACGAGGAGCUUGCUCCUCUGACGUUAGCGGCGGACGGGUGAGUAACACGUGGAUAACCUACCUAUAAGACUGGGAUAACUUCGGGAAACCGGAGCUAAUACCGGAUAAUAUAUUGAACCGCAUGGUUCAAUAGUGAAAGACGGUUUUGCUGUCACUUAUAGAUGGAUCCGCGCCGCAUUAGCUAGUUGGUAAGGUAACGGCUUACCAAGGCGACGAUGCGUAGCCGACCUGAGAGGGUGAUCGGCCACACUGGAACUGAGACACGGUCCAGACUCCUACGGGAGGCAGCAGUAGGGAAUCUUCCGCAAUGGGCGAAAGCCUGACGGAGCCACGCCGCGUGAGUGAUGAAGGUCUUCGGAUCGUAAAACUCUGUUAUUAGGGAAGAACAAAUGUGUAAGUAACUAUGCACGUCUUGACGGUACCUAAUCAGAAAGCCACGGCUAACUACGUG
This 497-nucleotide ribosomal RNA is filed under the name uncultured bacterium. RNAcentral's name for it is "partial 16S ribosomal RNA". It matches the Rfam family "Bacterial small subunit ribosomal RNA", at positions 28 to 507 of the family's 1533-position model. The record is from RNAcentral.